UGCAAGUCGAACGAGAUCUUCGGAUCUAGUGGCGCACGGGUGAGUAACACGUGGGAACCUGCCUUUAGGUACGGAAUAACGUCUGGAAACGGACGCUAAUACCGUAUAUCUCCUCCGGGAGAAAGGUCCGCCGCCUAAAGAGGGGCCCGUGUCAGAUUAGCUUGUUGGUGAGGUAAUGGCUCACCAAGGCUACGAUCUGUAGUUGGUCUGAGAGGAUGAUCAGCCACACUGGGACUGAGACACGGCCCAGACUCCUGCGGGAGGCAGCAGUGGGGAAUAUUGGACAAUGGGGGCAACCCUGAUCCAGCAAUGCCGCGUGUGUGAUGAAGGCCCUAGGGUUGUAAAGCACUUUCAACGGUGACGAUGAUGACGGUAACCGUAGAAGAAGCCCCGGCUAACUUCGUGCCAGCAGCCGCGGUAAUACGAAGGGGGCGAGCGUUGUUCGGAAUAACUGGGCGUAAAGGGCGCGUAGGCGGUCUAUCCAGUUGGGCGUGAAAGCCCUGGGCUCAACCCAGGAAUUGCGUCCAAUACUAAUAGACUAGAGACCGAGAGAGGAUAGUGGAAUUUCCAGUGUAGAGGUGAAAUUCGUAGAUAUUGGAAAGAACACCAGUGGCGAAAGCGGCUAUCUGGCUCGGUUCUGACGCUGAGGCGCGAAAGCGUGGGGAGCAAACAGGAUUAGAUACCCCUGGUAGUCCACGCCGUAAACGAUGUC
Molecule: ribosomal RNA, 712 nt
Filed under: uncultured marine bacterium
Lineage: Bacteria
Description: bacterial SSU rRNA
Rfam family: Bacterial small subunit ribosomal RNA
Source: RNAcentral